ACGAACGCUGGCGGCGUGCUUAACACAUGCAAGUCGAACGGAUAGGCCCUGCUUUUGUGGGGUGCUCGAGUGGCGAACGGGUGAGUAACACGUGAGUAACCUGCCCUUGACUUUGGGAUAACUUCAGGAAACUGGGGCUAAUACCGGAUAGGAGCUCCUGCUGCAUGGUGGGGGUUGGAAAGUUUCGGCGGUUGGGGAUGGACUCGCGGCUUAUCAGCUUGUUGGUGGGGUAGUGGCUUACCAAGGCUUUGACGGGUAGCCGGCCUGAGAGGGUGACCGGCCACAUUGGGACUGAGAUACGGCCCAGACUCCUACGGGAGGCAGCAGUGGGGAAUAUUGCACAAUGGGCGGAAGCCUGAUGCAGCAACGCCGCGUGCGGGAUGACGGCCUUCGGGUUGUAAACCGCUUUCGCCUGUGACGAAGCGUGAGUGACGGUAAUGGGUAAAGAAGCACCGGCUAACUACGU
This 466-nucleotide ribosomal RNA is filed under the name uncultured bacterium. RNAcentral describes it as "partial 16S ribosomal RNA". It matches the Rfam family "Bacterial small subunit ribosomal RNA", at positions 29 to 506 of the family's 1533-position model. The record is from RNAcentral.